This 1612-nucleotide long non-coding RNA is filed under the name Homo sapiens (human). Its description in RNAcentral is "HSALNT0106211". Lineage: Eukaryota; Metazoa; Chordata; Mammalia; Primates; Hominidae. The record is from RNAcentral.
CUAAGAGCGGAAUUGAUUGGUCAUGGAGUCUGAAUGAACCAACUGAGACUCAAGAGAGGUGGUAACUCUGCAAGUUCACUCCCUUGAGAAGUAGCAGAGCCAGGAUUCAGACCUAGUCUGCAGUCAAGGAUCUUCCCCACAGUAUCAUAAUCCCACCAAACAGCCCAUGGAUGAAAAGGAAAAUGAGUGCCUUCCCAGCACUCCCCGAACAAACAGGGCAGACCUCAGAUCCCUACACCUCAGGCGCCAGCUACGCGAGAAUCUCCAAGCCCCAUCUCGGGAUGUGUAGGAGUCUAGCCGUCCAGAGCCCCUCAGCCUGAGCCCCUCUCCUUGAAUGCAGCCAGCCCAGAGGAAAACAGAGGUAGCCGGGAUUGAAGCCCACCCUACUGUGAAGGCCUAAAGAAACAGCCUCAGGAGCUGAUCUGCGAUAAGAUGUCUUCUGCCCGGAAACAAAAGGCCCGGCAGGAUGAUCUGCAUCCCCUCAUUAUCUGGGAUUUGAGAAUUCUGAUUGAGUUUCUGAAGAGCUAGCUGCAGAGACCCAGGGUGGGGACUAGGUUGACUCUCUGGACGUUUUGGCCUGUCCUUCCCUUACUCAAGAGUACACUCCCCCAGCCUGGACCCCUUGGUGGUGUGGGAGGAAAGGCCACAGACUUGGCCAGGUAGGGUGGCUCAUAUCUGUAAACCCAACACUUUGGGAGGCCAAGGCGGGCAGAUCACCUGAGGUUGGGAGUUUGAGACCAGCCUGACCAAAAUGGAGAAACCCCAUCUCUACUAAAAAUACAAAAUUAGCUGGGCAUGGUGGCACAUGCCUGUAAUCCUAGCUACUAGGGAGGCUGGGGCAGGAGGAUCACUUGCACCCAGGAGGCAGAAGUUGUGGUGAGCCGAGAUCGCGCCAUUGCACUCCAGCCUGGGCAACAAGAGCGAAACUCUGUCUCAAAAAAAAAGAAAAGACAACAGACUUGACAAAGACCUGAUUGGGUCUCUGGGGAGACUGCAGCUGUGGGCCCCCAAUCCCACCCUGCAUUCCAGAACUGCCCAGGAAAGUUGGCUCUCAGGAGGUUACUGAGUAAUCGCUGAGCAGAAAUGUAAUGAUAGGAUUGGACUUUUGUCUGUUUUGAGGGGAGCCUGUUAUUUGGCUGCUUCUGUUCCUGGGGGACAGGUGUGAGGUGUGGUUAUUAGAUGACGGAGUGGAGGCUGAGUAUCAACAGUACAGAGUGCUGAGCUGGACAGAGGAUGAGGCCCUGCCCCUGCCUCAGGGAGCUCAGCGUCAAAAGCUGCCAGGCUGAUGAGAUGAAACUGGCAGGUUUGGUGGGACUGCUCACUGCUGAACCUAGACCUUCUAAAGACUCCUCCUCCCACCCCUAUGAACAAGCCCAAGAGGGGACAGUGUUAUUGCUCUCAUGCUGCAGAUAAAGAAGCUGACUCAGAAGCUCUCCCCGUAUAUGCCAAGCCUUUUCUUUUCUUUUUUCUUUUUUUUUGAGACAGAGUUUCCUCUUGUUGCCCAGGCUAGAGUGCAAUGGUGCGAUCUCAGCUCACCGCAACCUCUGCCUCCUGGGUUCAAGCUAGUCUCCCACCUCAGCCUCUCAAGUAGCUGGGAUUACAGGCACCCACC